Molecule: long non-coding RNA, 12179 nt
Organism: Mirounga angustirostris (Northern elephant seal)
Lineage: Eukaryota; Metazoa; Chordata; Mammalia; Carnivora; Phocidae
Exons: 2
Source: RefSeq, a predicted model, not a curated record
UCCAUCAUCCUUUUUUUAAAAAGAUUUUAUGGGUUAUAUACAUUUUUUAAUUAUUGAAGUAUAGUUGACAUACAAUGUUGUAUUAGUUUCGGGUGUACAAUAGAGUGAUUGGACAGGUCUGUACAUUAUGCCAUGCUCACCACCGUUAAGUGUAGCUACCAUCUGUCACCAAACAUUGUUAUUACAAUAUUAUUGACUAUAUUCCCGAUGCUGUGCUUUUCAUCUCCGUCACUUAUUUAUUUUAUAACUGGCAGUUUGUACCUCAAUCCCCUCCAUCUAUUUUGCCCUUCCCCUCACUGCCCUCCUGUUUUAUGGGUUUUAGUUACUGCGAUUUAUUUAGAUGCUGGCAUAAAAUUUCACGUUUUAACUUUUAAAAUGUUACUGACACUCUAAUAGGAAAUUUGUAAAUUUGUCAUAAAUUAUCAGAAAAUUUGCCUAUAGGUUUUAACAGGUCACAGUGUAUUUCUUUAGCCUAAAGAGCUCAUUUCUUUCUUUCUCCAAAACUUUAGCUAGACCUUUGCUAGAAAUUCCAAGGCAUUGGGCUGGAUUUUUUACCCAUUGAAAAAUUAGAACCUAAUUAAAUCUUCUCUUUCAGGUACCACAGUGCUUGUUUUCCUAUGUAAUAUGGGGGGUUAAUUUUUUCAUUUAAGUAUUUUCACUGAAAAUUUAAUUGUAAAUGGAAGGGACUAUCAUGAUUUUUCGUAAAAUGCUCUCAGAAAUCUUUUAAGGAAGAUGUGGGUAUUAUUGGAUAUUCUCAAUAUAUCAACAAUUAUAUUUGUGGCUGACCCUCUAACUAGCUGAUAAAAAUUGCUUUUAGGAGGUACAUCUCGUAUUGGAGAAGUAGGAUAGUAAUGGGUCUGACAUAAAUGUUUCCUUGCCUACAUCUGUUCAAUCUAAUACCUAUUGCCCGUUUUCACAGAGCUCCUUGCCUUCAGCUGUUCGUUUACUCAGCAUGUCCGUGUUGAGUGCUCAUAGGUGCCAGGCACUGUUGUGACGCCGGGCUGUGCUGAGGGCAGGAGUGAAAGACACAAACGCCCCGUUCUUGUGGAACUUGCAUUUCGUCAACUUGGCCAUGAGGGGGCGCUCUUCCGGGCCCAAUCUACCCAGUGCCGCAGUAUGUUUAGAAAACAAAUCAGCCGGCCCAGAGAGCCUACAGUUUCAUGUGGCUUGGCCAAACCAAGAUGACAGAAGUCCCCCACAACAACACUUGGGUCUCCCAUUAGUACACUGUGCCUCCGAGUUGUCCUCCUGAGAUGCAGAAGGCCUGGCGGUGGUGCCUCAGUUCCCACUCACACCUUAAUGGUCCUUCCUGAACUCCGCUACAUACAAGGAAGGGUUUUACAUGGUUUACACGCUUGAUUAAUUUAAUCUCCUAGCACCACCCUUAAGAGGUAGGAAGGAUCACUAUUCCCAUUUUACAGAUGCUGCAACAGGUCAGGUCCUUGACCCAUGUUAGAGGCAGUGAGUAGAUCAGUCAGGAUUUGAACCUGUGACUUCUGGUCAUAGAGAUUAUGCUCUUCAGCAGUCUGUGCUGUUUCAUGUGUUUGCAGAACAGGACGCUGGGGUAAGGGUCUCUUAUGGACCCACAUAAAAGGAAAAUUCCUCGGCUCAUACUAAUAAACCACCGAGAGCACACAUUGUGUAUUUCUCAGCUGGUAGUUUCUGGUCCCUCACAGAAAGCCCACUGCAAGUCAAGAAGGGAUGCUGCAAUUUGCUUCCUCCUGUAGGUUUUCUGUUAUGUAUACUCUCCCCAUAGCCAUGCUUAGCUUUUCCUCUUUGAGACCAGGAUCUAAACACUGCACAUAAAUAUUAGCUUACAUAUGGUUCCCUCAAAAGAAAAAAACAAUCAAAUCCUUUUCUAUGUUUGUCCUUUGGCUGGUGUAUUUUUCUACACACUUCCAAGAAUGUUGUAACAAACCUCUCUAAAAAUUGUGUUCUUUAUAUGAAACAUCAUUGUGUUAAGAAACUUAAUAUUAUCCACACUGAAAUUUGCACACUUGGGAGAGAAAAACAAGACUGUGGUUCGAACCAGGGAUGAUAAAAUAUUCAGAUUCCAGUUAACACCAACAAUAGAAUGGUUCUGCUUUUAAACUGUUAAUAUUUUUCUUAAUGUUGUUCUGUCAGAUUUCAUUAAUUCACAUGAUUUGUUACAUGUCAAAGAUGAAUGGGGGACAUGCAGAGAAGUUCAUGACUGUUGUCACUUUAUAGGGCUGGAUUUGUAAGACAAGACCAGCAGUGGCUUCUCAUUUUCUUGUAGGCAGCCAGCCUGUACCCCCAAACAGGAAUGUCCUUAGAGAAUGGCUCUUAGCCAAACACUGGGUAUCCCGAGGAGUAGUGACUGGUGAAAUUACUAAGAGUUGUGAUAUAAAAGCUUAAACAAUCUAGUAGGUGUUAUUCUUGUAUGAAAAUGUAAUUUUUUAUAGGUGUUUGUAUAUGUUACUUAACUACUUACUAGGUAAAUGGCAAGAGUUAUAGAGUUAUAUUAAGUAGCAAAAGAUAAAGAACACCUCCCUUCAAACUAUGUGCCUCCCUGACCAAAUGACAACUUUAUUAACCUACUACUUUAAGACUUAUGUUGCAAAUGAAUUCCAGGCCAUUCCUUAGAGUCAGAAUACCUCUGCCUUGUACUCAUGCUCUUUGAAUGAUACCUAUUCAAAGAAAUCAAAUAUGCUGUGCUUUUAAUCUUUGAGUAAUAAAGAUGACACAGUGACCUGUUUUUAGAAUGAGUCGUCCUUAGCUCCGAGUCCCUGGAUCUUUUCUGGCCCCACCAACAGAUGAGCCAACUUGUGGUCAGAAGCUGGUCUGAAGGAUGUGCCUGAGAAUGGGGCAUUCCUCUUUCUUUUCUCCCUCUGUUUGCUCCACAAUCAUCAGUUAAAGGCUCCUGCCACAUAACCACGUCUGUGUGCCGACUCCGGCUCUGCACUGAGGGAGCCCCACGGGGCAAUCCAAGUCACUGUAUUUUCCUCUCAGCAUUCUAAACACCAUUUGAAAACAACACAGUGGUUGCAUAGUAGUUCAGACAGUUCCCCUCCUGGGAGAAGAGAGGUCACAUGGUACAGCCGACCAGGAUCCACCCUUCCUAGCUCUGCUACUUCUUGAGAAAGUCACUCACCCCCUCCCUCUGGGAGAGAAGGUGUGAUUUGACGUCACAACUUGACUUCCUUCUAAUGUGCUUGUCCUCAGCGCCUGUCUCAAUCCCCCUGCGUGGGGCACGUGUGUGUUGCUCAAGUGAUAAAACAGAUGCAGUAGAAGGAGCGUUACAGAUUGAAGUCAUGUCCUUAUCUGCUUUUAAACACAUUCAUGGCACAUGUAAAGAAAUAUGUUAUAAGCACAAUAUUCUUUUACUUAACUCCCCCACUAAACAGUUUGGCAAUACUUGACCGAAACUGGCUUUCUUCAUGCCAAGAAUUCUGGGGUGAGGUUGAACUCUUUGUAUUCAGUUGCCCCCGUUGAGUUUUUCUGCUCUUUAUUCCAUAUGCCACCCGUCAGGGUUUUUUGGUUUAUAUUAAGUAUCACAUUUCUGAGUCAUAAAAGAACAUAAAGUUUUUGCUAUAAAGAAACAACGAUGAUAUGGUAUUUUCAUUCAUUUUGCUAUUUUUAAAAGUCUAUACUAGGAUACUUUUUUAAGUGUGCUGUGGUGGACAUGAUGCAAAGUCCAGUUUCUAUUACAAUCAUUUCAGAAAAUGUAUGGUUUUCAAGAAGACAAAUAUACAGUAAGGUUUGUGAGUAGCAGGGGAGUAAUAUUUUACACCUACUGGGAAGCAGAGUUGUUUCUUACUGCACCAAAUACAAGAGUGGAAUGAUGUGACUACUGACGAUAGAAGUUAGAUGACUUCAGCCGUUUGUGAAUGACGGAUGAAUUACUCCUGCGGAUCUUCCUUUGUAAACCAUUUUUUGUGUGUUUUGUGUCCUCUAAAAUUUGGGUAAAUGGCCCUUGUUGAGUUUUUAGGUUCAGCUUUAUCUUUUAGAUAAUCAGAACAAAACUAACAUUUUGAGAAGCUGCUCCAUGCCAGGUGCCUUCUGCUAUGCUACCUAAUUAGUCCCCAUGUGUAGGUCAUAUGGCCGCCAUUUUCACACAAUGAAACUUAGAGUUCAUUCCCUUUCUGUGCCGCCUCUCCUCCUGACUCCCACGUCUUUCUCAGCUGAUCUCUCAAUUCUAUCUUGAGAUCAAGCUGGUCUUUAGAACAUGGGAGAUGUCAGUGACAUGAGCCUGGAGGCCUUCAUGAUCCCCCAAAGCCUGCGGUUUGUUGUUUUUAAUGUCACAUCCUAACUAUUCCCAUUGAUAUCCGAGAGGCCUGCCUGACAUCCACUGAUCAGCAAUAAAAUUUUCCUUAAUCUGUUUUUGUAGGAGCUCCUUUAGACUUUUGUGGUAAAGCUAUCAACUUAGUUUAUAAUCAUUUUUAGUCAUGGUGGUUCCAAGAGAAAGAUUCUCACCACAGCCAAAUAAGCAUGAUGCCCAGUGAAGUUUCAUGUUUCUGCCUCUGGUUAUAGCAUUCCUUGUACUCUACCCUUCAACCUUUGCACAAAGAAUUUUAUGGGGGAAAGGAAAGGUUAAAGUCCAUGACUUUCACAUUCCAGGAGGUUAUUUCCAACACUAAACAACUUUACUUCUGUGCUUGUUUCCAGAAAAGAAACUCUCAGCUUCAUUUUUACGUUUCUGGGGCCAAAAGCAGUAUGCAAGUAGAAAUACAAAGUAAUAACUGGACAGAGUUUUUAAAAAGACCAAACCUCAGAUAAGACUAAAAGAAAUAGUAGAUAAAUGAGUUCAUUCUCAGUGGAACUCCCUUCAGUUUGUUUUCCUGUGUUGCUGAACUGACUCAUGAAACCAAAGUCUAGAAGCCCACAGGGCCUUACCUUAAGCUGAUUAAAAUCAUAAUACCUUACAUUUCUGCAGAGCUUUAUGGUUUUCAGAACACAUUCAUUUUUGCUAUAAUUAUCCUAUAUCAUCUAUUCUAACUUAUUACAUAUUAUUUUUCUCCAAGAAAUAAACCAGAGGAUUGUGGUUUAUAUUCCAGGGAUCAUCCCUGUUGUACCUCAGGGAGCUUAAUACAAUCAAUAGUGAUAACUACUCUUUUCUUUAAAAACCUUCUUGGUCCUAGUAGCAGUGAGCGCACCCAGCACUCGGAUCUUGGUUUCACACCAUUCUCUGCUAAAAGGAACCAGGGCUCCUCUAAACAGUCACUGUGUAUGCUUUUUGACAAUUGGGAAAAUCAAUCAAGCUAGUGUUGAACAAUGACUGUUUAUGUAGCUUUCUUACUUUUAAACAUCAGCUGUACCUCUGCCGACAGACAGGACUUCCUGCUCCUUGCCUGCUGUCACGUUCGUACUGUACAGAUAACAUCAAAAGUAAAGCCCCAUGUUAAGCACAUUUGGCCUAUUAGGUUAGUAAUCAGGUUAUUAAAAAAUAAGUAAAUAAAAAUAUCAAUGCUCAUUACCUAAAGACACUGUGUCAAUAAGACAUCAAUCUUUUUCAAGCAGACAGGAUAUUUUGAGUCCAUUUAAUACUUGUGUCAUCCUGUCAAUGAGAGCUGUCUCAAAGUGGGAUGAAUUUGCCUUGUGACAAAGUGGGUUUCCCAUCAUUCCAACUGUCUGGGAAGAAGGGCUUCAGGAAGCUAAUCAGUACCAGGUCCCUUUGGUAACUCUGGAAUCGAAACACUAGCUUGAUUGAUUUUCCUAAUUGUCAAAAAGCAUAUGCAGUGACUUCAAGAGAAAAGGCAAUUUCCAUUGGUUUAUGGCACUCAAAAUUGGUUGUAGUUAUUACUUGCAGUUUUAAAACAUGCAGUUAACAUUUAAUCGUGUCAUCUGGUUAAUCCCUAAAUAUUGCCACGUACGGCACAAAGCUGUCAGGCCUAACAUCAUAUGAGAAUAAUAAACGCACACAGGCUUUGGAUGGUUAUUCCUGAGUUUGCUUUUUAAAUAUGCCUCUUUGCUUUUUGUUUUUUUAACUAAGUGGGAUUUUCAAGGGAGAGAUGAAGGGAGGACAGGUUCUGCCUGACUUAGCCAACAUCUGUGCCCUCUGGGCAUGUAUGCCCUGUGGCAUAUGAGUUCCCACCCCGGAGUGUAUUUUACAUUUGUGACUUGUGAGGCAGCCCCUCAGAUAUAUUAAAUAUUAAAAGAUAAGAUGAUUUAAAACUACUAGCAUGCCAAGCAGAACUGUGCUGUUCGAGGUAAAUCGGAUGACUUUGGAUGGGUUGCUCAAAUGUUUAGAAAUAGAGAUCAUCUUUAUUUCCCUCUUGUUCUUGGGCCUGUCCUGUUGCCCUCUGCCUCCUUACUCUGCUUUGGUUUCUUUUUUUCCUAGCACAUAGUUACUUCCUGACAUAAUGUAACCUGUAUUAUUUCACGUAUUGGUUUGUGGUCUGUGCCCUCCAAGAAGCUGUCUGCCCCGUGACAGGAGGGGCACUGUUCUGAGCACGGCCAUAUCCCCAGCGCCUGCAAUAGGCAGUCAGUAAACAUAAAGAUGAAAAUAUACUUACCAGGUGGAAUAUUUCUUGUGCCAUAAAAAACUGGUGAUUAUUAGAAGAGGGCGGGUUUUUACUCACCUUGUCUGAGUUUUAUAUCACAUAAAUACUUCGAAGGGUUUUGUGGGCCCGAAUAUUUUUCCAAAGCUCUUUUCUAAUGUAAAAGAAAAAAAUAUAUAUAUAUAGUGAACGUGCUUGUUCACUCUGACUUCGUGGCAUCGAGUCUGCCCAGCUGUCGGGAUAUCCAGUUUGCCUUGGUCCUCCUGCCGCUCGUCCUAGCUUCCCCUCCCCGCCGUGCCCACACCGGGACCCCAGCUUUGCUGGCCUCAAUCUGUUUCUGGUCCCAGAGUCUUCAUCAGCAGGUAGAACGGAGCCAGGGCUCCUCAGUGAAUGCUGUCCAUUUCGCUACCCAACGUAUUUUGUGUUCUUGGUGGAGCUUUUCCUCUAAACAGCACCUAUAUUUAUUACAUUGUAUGUAACCAGUGUUCUACAAGGUAGAAUAAAAUAGAUCAUUCCUUGUGUUCUAGAAUUCCUGUAAUGCAAGACCAAGUCAGUGUGGUGAAUGAAUAGUUAUUUAAGAAACAGGCGUUAAAGUGGAAAAUGCUUUCUCUACUAUGGGAGGUCAGAGAUAAAUACUGCAACUUGACUGAUGGGCUUUGUUAGUAGUGGGCUUUGUUAGUAGCGGGCUUUGUUAAAGGAGGUGAGGCAACUCUUGGGGCUUCCUUCAAGUAGGACCAACUCUAACCUCUCCCUGGGGUCCAGUGGUCCCUGAGGCCUUGGCCUUCGACACCACCUCUCUCUGACGUCUCUUCCUCCUGCCAGCUGCCUUGUGUGCGUUGGCUUCCAGGACCAUUUGCUUUUAGCCACACCACCUUUGCCUAAGACUGAAGGCGCUCUCCUGAAUUCUGUCUUUGGUCAAAACGUAACACUUUAAUACCCUUAGGUUAGUGACCGGUAGAUAAUGUGAUAGAAUAAAAAAGGCAUUGUUAGUUGUUGAUGACGUUAAUUCAUUUAAGCUUAGUGAAUGUUUAUUGAAUACUGCUAACCAGGCACUUCAGGGACACAGAAAUAAGCAGGUAUAAUGUAGAGAUCCCACAUCUAUGUGAGAGGUUCCUGUCAGAUUUACAAAAGGCAGCCCCCUCUGGGAGGUGGAAUUGUGGAAAGGUGCCCACUCGGGGGCUUGCACCAGAACACAGGCUGGGGGCCUGCAGGGUUCCUGGGUUUCAGCCACUCCUGCUCCCAGCCAGCCACCUUUGUACUGGGCACAGACUGGACAAGCAGGUGAGGCAGUAUGGAAGGGGGUGUGCUGACGGUACAGACCUAAGUAAACAUGACAAGAUGCUGAGCCUCGGGAAAGCUCUCUACAUACCUGUUAUGUUAAUGGGCACAACAUCUGGGACUCUGCAGCCUGAUUUCCCCAGAUGCUCUAACCAAAAUAUACCCAAUCUAAUCCCAGAGACAGGUAGCAUUCGGUAACAAUCAGAGGCACCCACCUCUUGGAAGAGCCACUCAGAUGCUCUUUGCUUAUAAAAAUACAAGGUCAGUAUUUCAAUGAUACAAAUAAACAAAAGAGAAAAGAUGUGGGUGUUAUAAGUGGAAUGCCUUUAUGGAAAGAGCAAUUUUUUUUUUUUUUAAUUUCUAAAUAAAUAGCCUUUGGAGCACUGAGAAUAAGUAAUUUCUGUGAUCAAACACACCAAAUAGAUAACUGCAUACUACCGUACUAGAAACUGAGGAGCAUUUUAUAUAAUUUUUACAGUGUAGGGUAAUAGAAACUACAUGGCAUAUUGAUUUCCUUUUUUUUUUUUUUUUAAAGAUUUUAUUUAUUUUUCCACAGAGAGAGAGAGAGACAGUGAGAGAGGGAACACAAGCAGGGGGAGUGGGAGAGGGAGAAGCAGGCUUCCCGCGGAGCAGGCAGCCCGAUGCAGGGCUCGAUCCCAGGACCCUGGGAUCAUGACCUGAGCCGAAGGCAGUCGCUUAACCGACUGAGCCACCCAGGCGCCCUGGCGUAUUGAUUUCUUUACACCAGUAAAAGGAAGUCAGCCUUUACCAGGAAAUGACAGAUCUUUUUCUUCUGUAAAACUUAACCCGGAAGUAUCUACUAUCCUUGGAUUUUUUUUUUUUUUUCCUAUUUCAUUGUCAAUGUUCCACUGACUAAAUUCAACAGCAUAAUUUUUGCUAGCAAAGAGGAUGAAAAGCCUGUGGAGAAGUAACUUUUAAACAGAAUUUUAACUUUUUUUUUUUUUUUCAGAAUUUUCACUUUUAACCUGUCAAUGUGUACUACAUUAUAUAUAAAAUGUAUACACACACACACACAUAUAUGGCACUUUUCAUUCCGGUACAAUGCCUUGCUUGCGAGUGAGUAUUGAUUAUCAAACAACUGUCUAGAAGGGGUGGGUAGAGAACCCCUUUAGACGAAAGGCCAUGGCACUGUGUGUUCACUGGUGCUCAGAGCAGAGCACCUCUUACUAAACCCUGGGUAUCACAAGUUCCUCCCCAAAUGAUUUCAGAUAGUGUGCGUGCAGGAAGGAGAUUUGCUAUGCAGAAAAGGUCAUGGGAAAAUGACAUAAUGGAAGUCACAAUGCAAGUUGGUUAGAUGCGGACACAUACAGUAUCUGUAAGGCACGAACAUUAAUCUGCAGCGUGGCCCUAGAGAAACUGAGUAACUCUGUGUGCCAAGCUUUUAAAUGGUCUCAUCAGGAUUUGACCUAGGCCAUCAUAUUUUCAAAGCCCUUGGGAUGCCCACUGCAUCUGCCGGCUCACGGCGCUCCUCCCCUGCCCUCGUGGAGCUAUAGACUCUCGAUACGCUUUUUUGUUGCAGUUUACUUUUGGUGAGUGGUGCUCACUUUGGUCGUCUUCUCUGAAUCCCGGGAAGCUGUCAUUUUCUACUUGCCAUGUAGAUGUGAUGGAGCCCUCUGCCAUUUGUGUAGUCAUCUGAGACAGCAUCUCUGAAGUCUGGCUUUAUUUGAGAUAUGAGAGCCUUUUUGUUCCCAAGUAAAUAACUUGUAGUAGACUCAUUCCAGGAAGGACACCAGCAAUUCCACUUUUAGAUUAUAUCAACUGUAACUACGUUCUAAAGGAAUGCAGAUAAUAUUCCUUCAGCUCUUUUUGAUUGCUUAAUGGAAAUGUUAUAAAAUCUACUUUAAAGAUGGUCAUUAUAGAUGCUGUUCUUAACAUGUGGUUACAAAUGUGUGCUGUUGGCAGUGGCUAAAAACAGGUUAGAAAAGCAGAUGUCAUUUCUCCAAAGCUCUUGAUCUAGAUUCUUAGCUUGACACCCCAAGGCAUCAAGCUUCAAGUGUGUAGCAAAUUAGAAGCCCUGAGUUUCUUAGGCAGGACUGGGUUCCGAGGGACACUGGUGCAUUUCCAUCUAGCGAGCAUACCAAUAAAAGGCAAAAUAAUAAUAGUAGUGGCAGAAAUUUAGAGCAGAUUUUAGUGGAACAGUUGAAACUGGCAUUCGCUAACCAACUCUUGUUUGAAAUGCUGCCAGAGAGCAUAGAGACAGGAAAAUGUCUCUUGGUUUAAUUGGAUCAUUUCCUGAAAGAUCGUUUUACAAGAUAUCUUCCAGUGUUUAUUUGAGGCUUUUCAACUAUCUCUAAGAGAAACUUUUUCCUUUUGAUUAUUAUGUAACAUUACUAAUAACGAAACUAGAUCAAGGAACGAUCAAGCCAAAACCCAAUUUUCUUUUACUUAAUAGUUCAUCUUGACAUUAAAGUUUUUUUUUAAAUAGAAUAAUCCCUUUUUUUUUUUUUAAGAUUUUAUUUUAUUUAUUUAUUUGACAGAGAGAGACACAGCGAGAGAGGGAACACAAGCAGGGGGAGUGGGAGAGGGAGAAGCAGGCUCCCCGCAGAGCAGGGAGCCCGAUGCGGGACUCGAUCCCAGGACCCUGGGAUCAUGACCUGAGCCGAAGGCAGUCGCUUAACCAACUGAGCCACCCAGGCGCCCUAGAAUAAUCCCUUCUUAAUCUCAGAGUGUUCACCUCUCAAAUAUUUGAAUAACAUUAUCAAGUUCUUUUUCUACCUCAUCACACAAGGUAUGGAAUAUCAAGUAACACGUGUGUUGUUUUUUAAUCUUUCUCCUUACAGAACUAAAGGUAUGUUUAGUUUGAUUAAGCCAUAGGGUCAGGAGGAUGGCUAAACUCCACUAUGUUUUCCCUUCAAUCGGUCUAAAGAAAACAGAGCUUUAAAAAAUUCUCAAAAUCCUAAAUCACACGCUCAAAAUAAUUGGAAUUCUGGCCCCUUGUUCCCCACUGUCUUCCGUUCCAUGCACAUGCUUUUUUCACUUCAGGAUAGGAAUUUUGUCAAAACACCACAGUGGCCUCACAUACUGAUUUUCCUGAGAUAACUAGUUGGGUAUUAAGCAGUUACGACUAAUUUCUACUGCUUUGAUAUUUCUGGAUUUGAGUGGCAGGGCAAGAGUAACAGCAACAGCAACAACAACAAGCACGAGAGCGGUACGAGUAACUACUUCUAGAAACAUCCGUGCAGUGUGUUUGCUGUCCCAGAUGCUGUGCUCAGCUCGGCGCCCUGCUCGGCAGGGUCCUGCGGCGCUUACUGCCCAGGGUCACACCAGAGCAACGGAACCAUGACUCACAUUCAGGUGUUUGGCACCUGAGUUGCUUGUCACAAAUACACUGAUGCUCAAGGAGGAUACCGUUGGGUUCCCAGAGCAAGCUUUCCUGGGGACAGAUGUUGGCGUAUGCUAACUAGCAUUGAUAAGGUAUCAACUGGCUUACAUGUCGUAAAGUGGUUCUGUAGCAAAAUCAGAUUUGUUGAGUGAGAACGCGUGCAUGCCCAGCAAGGUGGGGUACUUUACAACACACUCAUUGGCAGCAACCUUCCUGUCUGGCAUGGCGUAACAGGAACAAAUGAGGAAAGCAUGUCAUGGAACCAGACUUAGAAUUUAGUGGCUCCAGGAUUAUGACAUAGUUUCAAUAAUAGAGGUAAAUGGCAACGGGGAAUAAUAGCCAAGUGAAUAGAAUCCCUAAUCUUUGGCUUGUUUGCAUAUUUACUCAACGUGGCCUCUGAAUUAGCUGAGAGCUUUUUGGAAGAAAGAAAUGGAAGAGACAGGAGCACCUGCGUUCUCAAGGCUCAGACCUCCCUUUUGUAAAUGCACUGAUUUUUGAAGAGGGUGUGUAUGUGUUUAAUGUGUGGGUGUGUUUGUUUAAGGAAGACAUGGAGCUUCAAAAGGCAAACUGUUUUGUAACCCAGAAGUGUAAUUGUAAAUGGAGUUAUUACAUCUGACGAUGAAGUUAACAUAAACCAAUUUGGAAACAGAUCGCAUAUGUGGGGCUCCACUGGCUGGAUCAGCUUCUUUCCCGCAGGAAGCUCAGAUGCUCUGUGUCAAUCCAUUCGGCCACCCUGUAGACAGAAGCUUCUAUUUGACCAGAGACUGAUAGUAACACAGCCUAGGGGGCAGUCAGGUUUUUUCAGUUCAAAGGAAGAAAGGAAUUUCACUUUCUGGCUGAUACUGUGGUUUGCCCAGGAACUGAUUGUAGAUAGUGGGAAUCCACCUUUAGAAAAAGGUGUGGGUAACCACAGCCUUGUAGCAGAGAAAAACUUCAAAGUGGAGAAGGUGAGCAAUACAGUUGCCCUAGGCUUGGGAGAGACAGAUCUGGAAUGAGAGUUCUGAUCUCGUAAAAUUCACUUUAGACUUUUCAAACUGCCAGGCCAGCCUUUGUACUGUAAUUCUUCAUCAGGCUGAGCUGCAUUUGGCACAUAUAAUUAU